Molecule: transfer RNA, 75 nt
Filed under: Actinomycetota bacterium
Lineage: Bacteria; Bacillati; Actinomycetota
Also listed under: 3 other names
Description: Actinobacteria bacterium tRNA-Arg
Rfam family: tRNA
About the family: Transfer RNA (tRNA) molecules are approximately 80 nucleotides in length. Their secondary structure includes four short double-helical elements and three loops (D, anti-codon, and T loops).
Source: RNAcentral
GCCCUCGUAGCUCAGGGGAUAGAGCAUCGGCUUCCGGAGCCGUGAGCGCGCGUUCGAAUCGCGCCGAGGGCACCA